Molecule: unclassified non-coding RNA, 314 nt
Filed under: Chytridiomycota sp.
Lineage: Eukaryota; Fungi; Chytridiomycota
Description: partial contains small subunit ribosomal RNA, internal transcribed spacer 1, and 5.8S ribosomal RNA
Rfam family: Eukaryotic small subunit ribosomal RNA (bases 1-47)
Source: RNAcentral
AAAGUCGUAACAAGGUAACCGUAGGUGAACCUGCGGUUGGAUCAUUAAUAAGUUUUGGUUCUUGUAACCGAACAAUCUUGUGUGAUAUGUAUUCUGUUUCUCGUGAAUCGAGCGCAUAAUUUUUGUGAUGAAAGUUAUGCCUGCGUCUAGGAUCUAUAGAUCUAUGAUGGCUGGUUCACGAAAGGACCGGGUGAUGUAUGUCACUUGGUUCGAAAAAACCAACCUUUAGUUAUCUUUUGUUUUGUCUUACUUAUUUUUCACAUUUAAUUGUGUAAAUUUUAUAACAACUUUUGACAACGGAUCUCUUGGCUCUC